This is an RNA transcript of Larimichthys crocea (large yellow croaker), 1290 nucleotides long. RefSeq lists it as uncharacterized. The record is from RefSeq and is a predicted model, not a curated record. Lineage: Eukaryota; Metazoa; Chordata; Actinopteri; Sciaenidae. The transcript is spliced from 3 exons.
UAGGCGUUAGAUUUAUAUAUUGUAUUUACAAUUUUUGGAUUCACAUAUUCCAACAACUGUGGAAUAAAAAUAUUUUUAGUUCAGUAAAUAUGAUGUUUUUAUUCUGUAAAUCUAACAGGAAGUAUUUUUUUCUCGUUCCGGUGGCUGUUGCUACUAAAGCCACUACAUUGCACGUUGUCUCCAGUUAGUGUUCCUGCUGAUUCAUAACACCAUGUGAACAUAUGAUGCCGCAGAUGCAGAGGACCAUGUGUCGGACCUUAUCCCAUAGUGUUCCAGUGGUGGUGUUGUGCCUUGCUGCUUUGUUCCUCAGUAGUGUCUUGAUCUACCUUUAUCUGGAUUCUGUGUAUUAUACCGAUCACCCACCGGAUUUCUCCCAUGUAGGCUGUAUGCCACAACACUUUAAAAUGACAACUAUGAAGAACUGCACCCCCUGGCUCCAGUGUUCACAAAUACAUGCUGAAGUUCGAAAGCUGAAGCUGAUUGGCCAGGGAGCUGUUAAGAAGCAACAGCAGCAGCUGUUAAUUCCAGUCUCGGAAUCGUUGUUGGUUUCAAUGGAGAAACUCUGGACUUUCCAAUGAUGGAUGAACAGUGGACUGAACCUUUUUCAUUUUUUAUGUGAAGGUAGGUGACGACUCCAUAACCUUUCUCACUUGCAUCUGCGAAGUGAUGCAUUUGUGCAGAUGUGAUUUUUACAAAACCAGCCGGUUUUAGACAUCUGUCCACUGUGAAACCAUGAAGCUUUGCAAGAUCCAAAAUCGAUUUUUGUGACUUUUGAGCCAAUUCUGCAGAGAUAUCUUCAUCCCAUUAGACUUUCCUGCCACACAACUCCUGCAGGAUCAUUUUAGCUGGAAGAAUGACAGGUGACAAAAAACGGGUCAUACACAGCACUUACAAAUGACAGGAUGCCACGUCUAGUUUGUGCUGUGUUCUUUGCAUUGAUUUUGACCUUGAAUACAUCUGUACACCAGUUCUCUCCAAGGACUCUUUCAUCAGGUAAUGCAUCAUGACUGAGAUCUAAAUCUUUAACCUCCUUGGCUCUCUCUGACUCAGGAAUGGAGGCUAGCACAGUUCUGUUGUUACUCACCCAUUUUGUAAGGUGAAAUCCCCCACUCUCACACAGAGCUGUCAAGUCUUUGACCACGUUAACUGCUUGGGUUUUAUCUGACACUGACAAAAGACAAUCAUCGACAUAAAAAUUGUCCAUGAUUGCUUUCACUGCAGCAGGUGCCAUUUUGUCCUUAGCAUUCUCAGCUGUCUUUCCAAACACAAAAUUGGCACAGCUGAGGGAGG